This is a long non-coding RNA of Crotalus tigris (Tiger rattlesnake), 1005 nucleotides long. RefSeq lists it as uncharacterized. The record is from RefSeq and is a predicted model, not a curated record. The transcript is spliced from 3 exons. NCBI's taxonomy places the organism in Eukaryota, Metazoa, Chordata, Lepidosauria, Squamata, Viperidae.
AUUAUAUUAACUAUUCCCACUGAAUACUUGAACCGGAUGAUAGUUUGUUCGCUAAAGCUUGGAAUGUCAUUGGGGGCAACCCCAUUGUUGUGCCUACCCCCAUCCCAAUCCCUUCCCUGAACACCACCCUGAACCCCAUUACCUAUACCGACCCUUUUUUCCCCAUACCUUUAUAAAACUUAAUAAAAUACUUAUUAAAAAAACUGGAUUUAAAAAUGGCCAAAAUGAAGAACAAUUUUCACUGGACUGAACAACUGACUGAAGUUGAUUUGAAUGUGGACUUCAAAAUGACACAUUAUAAGAAUGAUAUAGGAGUGACUUGGAUAAUUGUCUUAUUUUGGAUUUACAAAAGAAAAAUGUUAAAGUUUGGAAAGAGUUUCUGAGAAGAGACAAAGAAAAAAAUGAAAGGAAAUCGAGUUCUGGGACAUUGUUUAAAGGGAUUAAAGAUGAAGAAUGUUGAAAGCAAAGGUUAGGAAAAAAAAGUCACAAUUUGGUUACAACUUCCAGAGGUCUUUGGUGGCCAUUCCCAAGUCCCAAGGAAGCUGUUUACAGCCCCAGGGUGUCUGAUUGUGCACCUACUCUUUAGAUCAGUGGAUAAGCCUGGAAAUAGGAGAUGUGGCCAAGAAAGGGAUCAGCUAUUUGAACAUAAAUCAUGGUUAUUCUCCUGUGGCCUGCAACAUGGGACAAAUUAUCCUGUAGAUCUGCUGUACGCAUCAUAACAAACUGGUUUCGAAUUAUGCAUGUCUUCACUCCAAUUAUGAACAAAGUAUGCUCUUCCCAGAACAUUCUGUUCUAGGCAUUCAAGAUGCAUGCUGCUUCUGUGGAUAUUCCCUUGUUCCCUUUUUAGGGGAUUUUCUUUGAAAAGAGAAGGACAAGUUUGACUGAACUUUUUAUAACAUUCAAUAAAUGAAUCAGAGCAAUUAAAAGUGUACUUGUGCUUUUCCUAUGCUAUUAUAUGAAAAAUGUCAAAUAUCAAAUGGACAGUUUCCUCUGAUAAAGUUUUGA